UAGAGAGCUUGCUCUUAUGAAGUUAGCGGCGGACGGGUGAGUAACACGUGGGUAACCUGCCCAUAAGACUGGGAUAACUCCGGGAAACCGGGGCUAAUACCGGAUAACAUUUUGAACUGCAUGGUUCGAAAUUGAAAGGCGGCUUCGGCUGUCACUUAUGGAUGGACCCGCGUCGCAUUAGCUAGUUGGUGAGGUAACGGCUCACCAAGGCAACGAUGCGUAGCCGACCUGAGAGGGUGAUCGGCCACACUGGGACUGAGACACGGCCCAGACUCCUACGGGAGGCAGCAGUAGGGAAUCUUCCGCAAUGGACGAAAGUCUGACGGAGCAACGCCGCGUGAGUGAUGAAGGCUUUCGGGUCGUAAAACUCUGUUGUUAGGGAAGAACAAGUGCUAGUUGAAUAAGCUGGCACCUUGACGGUACCUAACCAGAAAGCCACGGCUAACUACGUGCCAGCAGCCGCGGUAAUACGUAGGUGGCAAGCGUUAUCCGGAAUUAUUGGGCGUAAAGCGCGCGCAGGUGGUUUCUUAAGUCUGAUGUGAAAGCCCACGGCUCAACCGUGGAGGGUCAUUGGAAACUGGGAGACUUGAGUGCAGAAGAGGAAAGUGGAAUUCCAUGUGUAGCGGUGAAAUGCGUAGAGAUAUGGAGGAACACCAGUGGCGAAGGCGACUUUCUGGUCUGUAACUGACACUGAGGC
RNAcentral lists this ribosomal RNA (697 nucleotides) under Bacillus cereus. RNAcentral's name for it is "bacterial SSU rRNA". It matches the Rfam family "Bacterial small subunit ribosomal RNA", at positions 72 to 752 of the family's 1533-position model. The record is from RNAcentral. Lineage: Bacteria; Bacillati; Bacillota; Bacilli; Caryophanales; Bacillaceae.